This 272-nucleotide ribosomal RNA is filed under the name Salmonella enterica subsp. enterica serovar Muenchen. RNAcentral describes it as "partial 16S ribosomal RNA". It matches the Rfam family "Bacterial small subunit ribosomal RNA", at positions 869 to 1141 of the family's 1533-position model. Lineage: Bacteria; Pseudomonadati; Pseudomonadota; Gammaproteobacteria; Enterobacterales; Enterobacteriaceae. RNAcentral also lists the same sequence under 5 other names. The record is from RNAcentral.
CCGCCUGGGGAGUACGGCCGCAAGGUUAAAACUCAAAUGAAUUGACGGGGGCCCGCACAAGCGGUGGAGCAUGUGGUUUAAUUCGAUGCAACGCGAAGAACCUUACCUGGUCUUGACAUCCACAGAAGAAUCCAGAGAUGGAUUUGUGCCUUCGGGAACUGUGAGACAGGUGCUGCAUGGCUGUCGUCAGCUCGUGUUGUGAAAUGUUGGGUUAAGUCCCGCAACGAGCGCAACCCUUAUCCUUUGUUGCCAGCGGUUAGGCCGGGAACUCA